UAAUACUGCAGUCGAGCGGACAGAAGGGAGCUUGCUCCCGGAUGNUAGCGGCGGACGGGUGAGUAACANGUGGNUAACCUGCCUGUAAGACUGGGAUAACUCCGGGAAACCGGAGCUAAUACCGGAUAGUUCCUUGAACCGCAUGGUUCAAGGAUGAAAGACGGUUUCGNCUGUCACUUACAGAUGGACCCGCGGCGCAUUAGCUAGUUGGUGAGNUAACGGCUCACCAAGGCGACGAUGCGUAGCCGACCUGAGAGGGUGAUCGGCCACACNGGGACUGAGACACGGCCCAGACUCCUACGGGAGGCAGCAGUAGGGAAUCUUCCGCAAUGGACGAAAGUCUGACGGAGCAACGCCGCGUGAGUGNNGAAGGUUUUCGGAUCGUAAAGCUCUGUUGUUAGGGAAGAANAAGUGCAAGAGUAACUGCUUGCACCUUGACGGUACCUAACCAGAAAGCCACGGCUAACUACGUGCCAGCAGCCGCGGUAAUACGUAGGUGGCAAGCGUUGUCCGGAAUUAUUGGGCGUAAAGGGCUCGCAGGCGGUUUCUUAAGUCUGAUGUGAAAGCCCCCGGCUCAACCGGGGAGGGUCAUUGGAAACUGGGAAACUUGAGUGCAGAAGAGGAGAGUGGAAUUCCACGUGUAGCGGUGAAAUGCGUAGAGAUGUGGAGGAACACCAGUGGCGAAGGNGACUCUCUGGUCUGUNACUGACNCUGAGGAGCGAAAGCGUGGGGGAGCGAACAGGAUUAGAUACCCUGGUANUCCACGCCGUAAACNAUGAGUGCUNANUGUNNGGGGUUCCGCCCCUUAUGCUGCAGCUAACGCAUUAAGCACUCCGCCUGGGGAGACGGUCGCANGACUGAAACUCAAUGUANUUGANUGGGGCCGNCAAUCUGUGUAAUAUGUUGUUUAAU
Molecule: ribosomal RNA, 912 nt
Filed under: uncultured bacterium
Lineage: Bacteria
Description: partial 16S ribosomal RNA
Rfam family: Bacterial small subunit ribosomal RNA
Source: RNAcentral